Molecule: ribosomal RNA, 254 nt
Filed under: uncultured bacterium
Lineage: Bacteria
Description: partial 16S ribosomal RNA
Rfam family: Bacterial small subunit ribosomal RNA
Source: RNAcentral
UACGUAGGGUGCGAGCGUUGUCCGGAAUUAUUGGGCGUAAAGAGCUCGUAGGCGGUGUGUCGCGUCGGCCGUGAAAACCUGCAGCUUAACUGUGGGCGUGCGGUCGAUACGGGCAUCACUGGAGUUCGGCAGGGGAGACUGGAAUUCCUGGUGUAGCGGUGAAAUGCGCAGAUAUCAGGAAGAACACCAGCGGCGAAGGCGGCACUCUGGGCCGGAACUGACGCUGAGGAGCGAAAGCGUGGGUAGCAAACAGG